This 174-nucleotide ribosomal RNA is filed under the name uncultured bacterium. RNAcentral's name for it is "partial 16S ribosomal RNA". It matches the Rfam family "Bacterial small subunit ribosomal RNA", at positions 335 to 524 of the family's 1533-position model. The record is from RNAcentral.
ACUCCUACGGGAGGCAGCAGUGGGGAAUAUUGCACAAUGGGCGAAAGCCUGAUGCAGCGACGCCGCGUGAGGGAAGAAGGUCUUCGGAUUGUAAACCUCUGUCUUUGGGGACGAACAAAUGACGGUACCCGAGGAGGAAGCCACGGCUAACUACGUGCCAGCAGCCGCGGUAAU